This 253-nucleotide ribosomal RNA is filed under the name uncultured bacterium. RNAcentral's name for it is "partial 16S ribosomal RNA". It matches the Rfam family "Bacterial small subunit ribosomal RNA", at positions 524 to 776 of the family's 1533-position model. The record is from RNAcentral.
UACGAAGGGGGCUAGCGUUGCUCGGAAUGACUGGGCGUAAAGGGCGCGUAGGCGGUUUGGACAGUCAGAUGUGAAAUUCCUGGGCUCAACCUGGGGGCUGCAUUUGAUACGUUCGGACUAGAGUGGGGAAGAGGGUCGUGGAAUUCCCAGUGUAGAGGUGAAAUUCGUAGAUAUUGGGAAGAACACCGGAGGCGAAGGCGGCCACCUGGUCAACAACUGACGCUGAGGAACGAAAGCAUGGGGAGCAAACAGG